RNAcentral lists this long non-coding RNA (387 nucleotides) under Homo sapiens (human). RNAcentral's name for it is "non-protein coding lnc-ZCCHC7-2:28". Lineage: Eukaryota; Metazoa; Chordata; Mammalia; Primates; Hominidae. The record is from RNAcentral.
AGCAGUGGGGUCUUACCCUAUAAAUAGAGCAAGGCUAGUUUGGAACUCCUGGGCUUGUGUGGUCCUCCCGCCUUAGCCUUCAGAGUAGCUGGGAGUGCAGGUGUGAACACAGCUUUGAAAUCUCAAUUUUUUUUUUUUUUUUUUGAGACAGAGUCUCGCUCUGUCGCCCAGGCUGGAGUGCAAUGGCAUGAUCUCGGCUCACUGCAAGCUGCGCCUCCCGGGUUCACGCCAUUCUCCUGCCUCAGCCUCCCAAGUAGCUGGGACUACAGGCACCUGCCACCACGCCUGGCUAAUUUUUUGUAUUUUUUUUUAGUAGAGACGGGGUUUCGCAGUGUUAGCCAGGAUGGUCGCGAUCUCCUGACCUCGUGAUCCGCUGCGUCUGGCCAG